AGCGAACGCUGGCGGCAGGCUUAACACAUGCAAGUCGAGCGGGCCCCUCGGGGUCAGCGGCGGACGGGUGAGUAACGCGUGGGAACGUGCCUUCUGGUUCGGAAUAACUCAGGGAAACUUGAGCUAAUACCGGAUACGCCCUUUUGGGGAAAGGUUUACUGCCGGAAGAUCGGCCCGCGUCUGAUUAGCUAGUUGGUGGGGUAACGGCCUACCAAGGCGACGAUCAGUAGCUGGUCUGAGAGGAUGAUCAGCCACACUGGGACUGAGACACGGCCCAGACUCCUACGGGAGGCAGCAGUGGGGAAUAUUGGACAAUGGGCGCAAGCCUGAUCCAGCCAUGCCGCGUGAGUGAUGAAGGCCUUAGGGUUGUAAAGCUCUUUUAUCCGGGACGAUAAUGACGGUACCGGAGGAAUAAGCCCCGGCUAACUUCGUG
This 433-nucleotide ribosomal RNA is filed under the name uncultured bacterium. Its description in RNAcentral is "partial 16S ribosomal RNA". It matches the Rfam family "Bacterial small subunit ribosomal RNA", at positions 29 to 507 of the family's 1533-position model. The record is from RNAcentral.